This 230-nucleotide ribosomal RNA is filed under the name uncultured fungus. RNAcentral describes it as "partial 18S ribosomal RNA". It matches the Rfam family "Eukaryotic small subunit ribosomal RNA", at positions 40 to 274 of the family's 1831-position model. The record is from RNAcentral. Lineage: Eukaryota; Fungi.
AAGAUUAAGCCAUGCAUGUCUAAGUAUAAGCAAUUUGUACUGUGAAACUGCGAAUGGCUUAUUAAAUCAGUUAUCGUUUAUUUGAUAGUACCUUACUACAUGGAUACCUGUGGUAAUUCUAGAGCUAAUACAUGCUAAAAACCUCGACUUCGGAAGGGGUGUAUUUAUUAGAUAAAACCAAAUGCCCUUCGGGGCUCCUUGGUGAAUCAUAAUAACUAAGCGAAUCGCAU